This is a non-coding RNA of Poecilia reticulata (guppy), 183 nucleotides long. NCBI's taxonomy places the organism in Eukaryota, Metazoa, Chordata, Actinopteri, Cyprinodontiformes, Poeciliidae. The record is from RefSeq and is a predicted model, not a curated record.
UUUUCAACAUGUAUGUGUAACUGGGUCUAUAUUAAUAGUUUUAUAUUUCCACAAAAUGUGUUCUUUUAUGUAUUUGUCUGCUUCUACUUGACUGUUGCUGUGAUCCUCUGUGUCUACUAUAAGAGGUUUGGUCCUUCAACUCCGCCUUAUUUUCUUCUUCUUUUGUUCAGGGCUAUUCCAGGA